RNAcentral lists this transfer RNA (70 nucleotides) under Sphaerobolus stellatus SS14. RNAcentral describes it as "tRNA-Thr (AGT) (tRNA-Thr-AGT-10-1)". It matches the Rfam family "tRNA". From Rfam's summary of the family: Transfer RNA (tRNA) molecules are approximately 80 nucleotides in length. Their secondary structure includes four short double-helical elements and three loops (D, anti-codon, and T loops). Further hydrogen bonds mediate the characteristic L-shaped molecular structure. tRNAs have two regions of fundamental functional importance: the anti-codon, which is responsible for specific mRNA codon recognition, and the 3' end, to which the tRNAs corresponding amino acid is attached (by aminoacyl-tRNA synthetases). tRNAs cope with the degeneracy of the genetic code in two manners: having more than one tRNA (with a specific anti-codon) for a particular amino acid; and 'wobble' base-pairing, i.e. permitting non-standard base-pairing at the 3rd anti-codon position. The record is from Rfam by way of RNAcentral. Lineage: Eukaryota; Fungi; Basidiomycota; Agaricomycetes; Geastrales; Sphaerobolaceae.
GCCUUCUUAGCUGUAGUAGAGCGCGUCACUAGUAAUGACGAGGUCAGUCGUUCAAAUCGGCUAGGAGGCA